CCCCUUUGGUGGAGAAUAACUGUUAGGAAACGACAGCUAAUACUCCAUAAGCUUGGGAACCAGGAAAGAUUUAUCGACCAAAGGAGGAGCCCGCGUCAGAUUAGGUAGUUGGUGGGGUAAAGGCCUACCAGGCCUGUGAUCUGUAGCUGGUCUGAGAGGAUGACCAGCCACACGUGGGACUGAGACGACCGGCCCAGACUCCGUACGGGGAGGCAGCAGGUGGGAAUAGUUGACAGUGGGGGAACCCUGAUCCAGCAAUGCCGCGUGAGUGAAGAAGGCCUUCGGGUUGUAAAGCUCUUUCGCCUGUGAAGAUAAUGACGGUAACAGGAUAAGAAGUCCCGGCUAACUCCGUG
Molecule: ribosomal RNA, 353 nt
Filed under: uncultured Rickettsia sp.
Lineage: Bacteria; Pseudomonadati; Pseudomonadota; Alphaproteobacteria; Rickettsiales; Rickettsiaceae
Description: bacterial SSU rRNA
Rfam family: Bacterial small subunit ribosomal RNA
Source: RNAcentral